AGUAACUUACCACUUUCACUAUCUGAUGCAUCGUCAAGUCUGGCUAUAGCAUCGAGUAAUGACUGCUCCUGGUCCUACAAGGACAACCAUUUGACCUCACAACUCUCAGACGAAGGAUAUCUAUAAGGAGCUUUUCUCCAUCAUACAUAAUUCUGUAGAAAAUUGCAUAACAACAGACAAGCCAACUCACUUGCAAAAGUUUCUUGGCCUUUUCGAUCUCACCCAUAUUUGGAUUGGACAAAACCCUCUCCACCUGGGUUGGAACAUACAAUAGUGAGGUAAAAAACCAAUAUCUGAAUGCAUAAUAUCUGAUCUCAUGAGAUAAUUUACCUCUAUGACAACACUUCGAGUGUUAGGUACAUCAAUGUGACCAAUAUUCCUGUUAAUUCCAUUUUGGGGAGGAGCACUAUCCUUAGUAGGCUCAUUUCGAGAAAACCUUCCUCCUCCCCUACUUGCCAUUGCCAUUGUACCGUUGUUGCCUGGGUGCCUCCUCAUCCCAGGAUGAGGACCCCAACCAUCUCGAUUUGAGAUGCCUUGAUCAUCAAGGUCCCAUAUUAUAUCUUCAGGU
Molecule: small RNA, 568 nt
Filed under: Oryza sativa Japonica Group (Japanese rice)
Lineage: Eukaryota; Viridiplantae; Streptophyta; Magnoliopsida; Poales; Poaceae
Description: sRNA Os04g0659450
Source: RNAcentral